AGUGAACGCUGGCGGUAGGCCUAACACAUGCAAGUCGAACGGCAGCGCAGUAAGAGCUUGCUCUUACGGGUGGCGAGUGGCGGACGGGUGAGGAAUACAUCGGAAUCUACUUUUUCGUGGGGGAUAACGUAGGGAAACUUACGCUAAUACCGCAUACGACCUACGGGUGAAAGCAGGGGAUCUUCGGACCUUGCGCGAUUGAAUGAGCCGAUGUCGGAUUAGCUAGUUGGCGGGGUAAAGGCCCACCAAGGCGACGAUCCGUAGCUGGUCUGAGAGGAUGAUCAGCCACACUGGAACGGGGACACGGUCCAGACUCCUACGGGAGGCAGCAGUGGGGAAUAUUGGACAAUGGGCGCAAGCCUGAUCCAGCCAUACCGCGUGGGUGAAGAAGGCCUUCGGGUUGUAAAGCCCUUUUGUUGGGAAAGAAAAGCAGCAGGUUAAUACCCCGCUGUUCUGACGGUACCCAAAGAAUAAGCACCGGCUAACUUCGU
This 491-nucleotide ribosomal RNA is filed under the name uncultured bacterium. RNAcentral describes it as "partial 16S ribosomal RNA". It matches the Rfam family "Bacterial small subunit ribosomal RNA", at positions 29 to 506 of the family's 1533-position model. The record is from RNAcentral.